Syngnathus typhle (broad-nosed pipefish) is the source of this 945-nucleotide long non-coding RNA. RefSeq lists it as uncharacterized. The record is from RefSeq and is a predicted model, not a curated record. Lineage: Eukaryota; Metazoa; Chordata; Actinopteri; Syngnathiformes; Syngnathidae. The transcript has 2 exons.
CAGGAUUCAACAACUAGCAUGCUGAUUUGACCCACCUGCGGACUUCCAGCGAAGACCUCCGGGACCGGCGGCCAGACGGCGGCGCUUCCCGAUGCUGACGGCGGCGGCGGGCGUGGACGAGAGGACGGGCGGCGACAUCGGGACAAAGUUCAGCAGCUCGCUCCAAGUCAACAUGACAGACGGCGCUGUUAUCAAGUGGGAAGGCGGAACCAACUGCAUGGGAAACGAGACCUUGGGAAGAUGGCGGCGGCAAUGGCGGCGCUUAUCAAGCCAUCAGCUCUUUGUGGCAGCCUGAAAAGAAAAGGCAACCAGAGCAGGCGCCGCCGCCGCCGCAGCCACCGCCUGGAUCCCGAUAAAUAUAUUCACGUAGGUCAACGGGUCAAGAACACCCCGCAGGCUCAAACUAACGACUAAUAGAAACAUUUCAAGUUGGCCGGGCCGAGGAACGGAGCGGGCGUCAUGACAUCAGUCAGUCGUGUGACCCAGUCUGCCAGAUUUCAAGUCACCUUUGACUUUUUUUUUUUUUUUCUUACCUGUGAGCCGACGAAGGCGAAGGGGCCCGGGCGGAGUCCAAGAGUCUGGGCAGCAGCAGCGAAGAGGGCAUGCACAGCCACGUCUCCAGGUCCAACAACUUGGAGCAGCUCAGCAUCUCCAGAACGCUGCUCGACAGACGACAAGUUUGGUCGAGCCACGCCACGGAAAAGCGCCCGCGACACCAACGUACCUCUCCUCUCCCACCGCCUGGACGUCGUCAUCAUCUUUGUCGUCGGCCGCUCGGAAGACGCAGGAGAUGCGGGAGUCUCGCGAAGACGACAGCGGGCGGGUGUUCUCAGAAUCCACCGACAUCUUGGCCCAUAUCUGCACGCAGAAGAAGAGCACCGGGGAGCCGGCGCUGGGUCGGUCGCUUCUUAGCAUGACGCUUCAGGAAGAAACUAAUUUGAUCAA